This 782-nucleotide ribosomal RNA is filed under the name uncultured bacterium. RNAcentral's name for it is "bacterial SSU rRNA". It matches the Rfam family "Bacterial small subunit ribosomal RNA", at positions 75 to 872 of the family's 1533-position model. The record is from RNAcentral.
GGAGCUUGCUUUAUAUAACUUAGCAGCGAACGGGUGAGUAACACGUAGAUAAUCUAUCCUAUACUGGGGGAUAGCCCGAUGAAAGUUGGAUUAAUACCGCAUAUAGCUAUAUAGUUGCAUGAUUAUGUAGUGAAAGAUUUAUUGGUAUAGGAGGAGUCUGCGGCACAUUAGCUAGUAGGUGGGGUAAAGGCUUACCUAGGCGACGAUGUGGAGCCGGUCUGAGAGGAUGAACGGCCACAAUGGAACUGAGACACGGUCCAUACUCCUACGGGAGGCAGCAGUGGGGAAUAUUGCACAAUGGGGGAAACCCUGAUGCAGCAACGCCGCGUGAGUGAAGAAGGUUUUCGGAUUGUAAAGCUCUGUUAGCAGGGAAGAGGAAGGACGGUACCUGCAGAGGAAGCCACGGCUAACUACGUGCCAGCAGCCGCGGUAAUACGUAGGUGGCAAGCGUUGUUCGGAAUAAUUGGGCGUAAAGGAUGCGUAGGCGGUUAAACAAGUUAUAUGUUAAAUAUAUAGGCUUAACCUGUAGAAAGCAUAUAAAACUGUUUAACUAGAGUGCAGGAGAGGUAAGUGGAAUUCCUAGUGUAGCGGUGAAAUGCGUAGAGAUUAGGAAGAACACCAGUGGCGAAGGCGACUUACUGGACUGUAACUGACGCUGAGGCAUGAGAGCAUGGGGAGCAAACAGGAUUAGAUACCCUGGUAGUCCAUGCUGUAAACGAUGGGUACUAGGUGUGGGGUGUGAAUAACAAUUCGUGCCGUCGCAAACGCAAUAAGUACCCCGC